Molecule: ribosomal RNA, 492 nt
Filed under: Tetrix subulata
Lineage: Eukaryota; Metazoa; Arthropoda; Insecta; Orthoptera; Tetrigidae
Description: partial 16S ribosomal RNA
Rfam family: Bacterial large subunit ribosomal RNA
Source: RNAcentral
AAAGGUCGUGCCUGCUCACUGAUUUAUUAAAGAGCCGCGGUAUUUUGACCGUGCAAAGGUAGCAUAAUCAUUAGUAUAUUAAUUGUAUACUGGAAUGAAAGGUUUGACGAGAAAUAUACUGUCUCUAUUAUAUUUUUAUAAUUUUACUUUCUAGUUAAAAGGCUGGGAUUUUUUUUUUGGACGAUAAGACCCUAUAGAGUUUGAUUUUAAAUAUUUUAUUAUUUUGGGUUAAGUUGUUAAUAAUUAAUUUUAUUGUUAGUUUUGUUGGGGUGAUGUGAAUAAUAAUUAAACUAUUCAUUAUUUUUAUCAUUGAUUUAUGUUUUUUAUGAUCUUAUAUUAUUGAUAUAAAGAUAAAAUUACCUUAGGGAUAACAGCGCAAUUAUCUUUGAGAGUUCUUAUUGACAAGAUAGAUUGUGACCUCGAUGUUGGAUUAAGAUUAUUUUUUAGGUGAAGGUGCUUAAUUUAGUUGGUCUGUUCGACCAUUAAAAUCUU